RNAcentral lists this ribosomal RNA (256 nucleotides) under uncultured bacterium. RNAcentral describes it as "partial 16S ribosomal RNA". It matches the Rfam family "Bacterial small subunit ribosomal RNA", at positions 524 to 777 of the family's 1533-position model. The record is from RNAcentral.
UACGGAGGGGGCUAGCGUUGUUCGGAAUUACUGGGCGUAAAGCGCGCGUAGGCGGACCUGCAAGUCGGGGGUGAAAGCCCGAGGCUCAACCUCGGAACUGCCUUCGAUACUGCGGGUCUCGAGUCCGGGAGAGGUGAGUGGAAUUCCUAGUGUAGAGGUGAAAUUCGUAGAUAUUAGGAAGAACACCAGUGGCGAAGGCGGCUCACUGGCCCGGUACUGACGCUGAGGCGGCGGAAAGCGUGGGGAGCAAACAGGG